GGUCCCGUAGCUCAACUGGAUAGAGCGGCGGACUUCUAAUCCGCAGGUUGCAGGUUCGAGUCCUGCCGGGAUCGCCA
RNAcentral lists this transfer RNA (77 nucleotides) under Hyphomicrobiales bacterium. RNAcentral describes it as "tRNA-Arg". It matches the Rfam family "tRNA". Rfam says of the family: Transfer RNA (tRNA) molecules are approximately 80 nucleotides in length. Their secondary structure includes four short double-helical elements and three loops (D, anti-codon, and T loops). The record is from RNAcentral. RNAcentral also lists the same sequence under 3 other names. Lineage: Bacteria; Pseudomonadati; Pseudomonadota; Alphaproteobacteria; Hyphomicrobiales.